This 484-nucleotide ribosomal RNA is filed under the name uncultured bacterium. RNAcentral describes it as "partial 16S ribosomal RNA". It matches the Rfam family "Bacterial small subunit ribosomal RNA", at positions 30 to 507 of the family's 1533-position model. The record is from RNAcentral.
AUUGAACGCUGGCGGAAUGCUUUACACAUGCAAGUCGAGCGGCAGCACGGGGGCAACCCUGGUGGCGAGCGGCGAACGGGUGAGUAAUACAUCGGAACAUGCCCAGUCGUGGGGGAUAACACUUCGAAAGAAGUGCUAAUACCGCAUACGUCCUGAGGGGGAGAGCGGGGGAUCGCAAGACCUCGCGCGAUUGGAGUGGCCGAUGUCAGAUUAGCUAGUUGGUGGGGUAAAGGCCUACCAAGGCAACGAUCUGUAGCUGGUCUGAGAGGAUGAUCAGCCACACUGGGACUGAGACACGGCCCAGACUCCUACGGGAGGCAGCAGUGGGGAAUUUUGGACAAUGGGGGCAACCCUGAUCCAGCCAUUCCGCGUGAGUGAAGAAGGCCUUCGGGUUGUAAAGCUCUUUCGGCAGGAACGAAACGGUGAGCUCUAACAUAGCUUGCUAAUGACGGUACCUGAAGAAGAAGCACCGGCUAACUACGUG